AUGAACGCUGGCGGCGUGCCUAAUACAUGCAAGUCGAGCGAACAGACGAGGAGCUUGCUCCUCUGACGUUAGCGGCGGACGGGUGAGUAACACGUGGAUAACCUACCUAUAAGACUGGGAUAACUUCGGGAAACCGGAGCUAAUACCGGAUAAUAUAUUGAACCGCAUGGUUCAAUAGUGAAAGACGGUUUUGCUGUCACUUAUAGAUGGAUCCGCGCCGCAUUAGCUAGAUGGUAAGGUAACGGCUUACCAAGGCAACGAUGCGUAGCCGACCUGAGAGGGUGAUCGGCCACACUGGAACUGAGACACGGUCCAGACUCCUACGGGAGGCAGCAGUAGGGAAUCUUCCGCAAUGGGCGAAAGCCUGACGGAGCAACGCCGCGUGAGUGAUGAAGGUCUUCGGAUCGUAAAACUCUGUUAUUAGGGAAGAACAAAUGUGUAAGUAACUAUGCACGUCUUGACGGUACCUAAUCAGAAAGCCACGGCUAACUACGUG
This 496-nucleotide ribosomal RNA is filed under the name uncultured bacterium. Its description in RNAcentral is "partial 16S ribosomal RNA". It matches the Rfam family "Bacterial small subunit ribosomal RNA", at positions 29 to 507 of the family's 1533-position model. The record is from RNAcentral.